Molecule: ribosomal RNA, 232 nt
Filed under: uncultured Candidatus Saccharibacteria bacterium
Lineage: Bacteria; Candidatus Saccharimonadota
Description: partial 16S ribosomal RNA
Rfam family: Bacterial small subunit ribosomal RNA
Source: RNAcentral
UAAGUAGAUGGUGAAGCCUGGGGCUCAACCCUUCAACAUCAUUAAACUGCAUAGCUAGAAUAUGGGAGAGGUACCUGGAAUUCCAAGUGUAGGAGUGAAAUCCGUAGAUAUUUGGAGGAACACCGAUGGCGUAGGCAGGGUACUGGCCUAUUAUUGACACUAAGGCACGAAAGCGUGGGGAGCGAACGGGAUUAGAUACCCCGGUAGUCCACGCUGUAAACUAUGGAUGCUA